AGAGACCCAAGUUGACAGACAAUCGGCGUAAAGAGUGGUUAAGUACUAUACCUCACUAAAGCCAAACACCUUCAAAGCUGUUAUACGCACCCGAAGGUUAGAAGCCCAWYCACRAAAGUGGCUUUAAACUUACUGAACCCACGAAAGCUAGGGCACAAACUGGGAUUAGAUACCCCACUAUGCCUAGCCUUAAACAUUGAUGGUAAUUUACAACUACCAUCCGCCUGGGAACUACGAGCACCA
RNAcentral lists this ribosomal RNA (243 nucleotides) under Acanthurus triostegus (convict surgeonfish). RNAcentral describes it as "partial small subunit ribosomal RNA". Lineage: Eukaryota; Metazoa; Chordata; Actinopteri; Acanthuriformes; Acanthuridae. The record is from RNAcentral.